This 1354-nucleotide ribosomal RNA is filed under the name uncultured bacterium. RNAcentral's name for it is "bacterial SSU rRNA". It matches the Rfam family "Bacterial small subunit ribosomal RNA", at positions 28 to 1381 of the family's 1533-position model. The record is from RNAcentral.
GAUGAACGCUAGCGGCAGGCUUAACACAUGCAAGUCGAGGGGUAACGAUAGUGCUUGCACUAGGCGACGACCGGCGCACGGGUGAGUAACGCGUAUGCAACCUACCUCAAACAGGGGGAUAGCUCGGGGAAACUCGAAUUAAUACCCCAUAUUUUACAUUAUUCGCAUGUUUAAUGUAAGAAAGUUACGGCGGUUUGAGAUGGGCAUGCGUGCCAUUAGAUAGUUGGUGUGGUAACGGCACACCAAGUCGAUGAUGGCUACGGGGUCUAAAAGGAUGGUCCCGCACACUGGUACUGAGACACGGACCAGACUCCUACGGGAGGCAGCAGUGGGGAAUAUUGGUCAAUGGACGCAAGUCUGAACCGGCCAUGCCGCGUGAAGGAAGACUGCCCUAUGGGUUGUAAACUUCUUUUAUACAGGAAUAAUCAUAGAUACGUGUAUUUAUUUGAAUGUACUGUAUGAAUAAGCAUCGGCUAACUCCGUGCCAGCAGCCGCGGUAAUACGGAGGAUGCAGGCGUUAUCCGGAUUUAUUAGGUUUAAAGGGUGCGCAGGCGGAAUAUUAAGUCAGUGGCGAAAGUCUUCAGCUUAACUGGAAAAUUGCCAUUGAUACUGAUGUUCUAGAGUAUGGUAGAGGUAGGCGGAAUGUGUAGUGUAGCGGUGAAAUGCUUAGAUAUUACACAGAACACCGAUUGCGAAGGCAGCUUACUAUCCCAUAACUGACGCUGAGGCACGAAAGCGUGGGGAGCGAACAGGAUUAGAUACCCUGGUAGUCCACGCCGUAAACGAUGAUAACUGGUUGUGCACGAUACACAGUGCGUGACUGAGGGAAACCAUUAAGUUAUCCACCUGGGGAGUACGUUGGCAACAAUGAAACUCAAAGGAAUUGACGGGGGCCCGCACAAGCGGAGGAACAUGUGGUUUAAUUCGAUGAUACGCGAGGAACCUUACCUGGGCUUAAAUGUAGAGUGCAUUAUUUAGAAAUAGAUAUUUCCUUCGGGACUCUUUACAAGGUGCUGCAUGGUUGUCGUCAGCUCGUGCCGUGAGGUGUCGGGUUAAGUCCCAUAACGAGCGCAACCCCUAUCGUUAGUUGCUAGCAGGUCAAGCUGAGGACUCUAACGAGACUGCCGGUGUAAACCGCGAGGAAGGUGGGGAUGACGUCAAAUCAGCACGGCCCUUAUGUCCAGGGCUACACACGUGUUACAAUGGUCAAUACAAAGGGCAGCUACUUGGCAACAAGAUGCAAAUCUCAAAAGUUGAUCACAGUUCGGAUUGGAGUCUGCAACUCGACUCCAUGAAGUUGGAUUCGCUAGUAAUCGUAUAUCAGCAAUGAUACGGUGAAUACGUUCCCGGGCCU